AGGGGAAGCCCGGAGAUGGGGACUGAGACAAGGCCCCAGGCCCUACGGGGCGCAGCAGGUGCGAAAAUUCCGCAAUGCGUGCAAGCGCGACGGAGUGACCCCCAGUGCCGAUGGUCUAACGAUCGUCGGCUUUUCUGGAGUGUAAAAAGCUCUGGGUAAUAAGGGCCGGGUAAGACUGGUGCCAGCCGCCGCGGUAACACCAGCGGCUCAAGUGGUAGUCGAUUUUAUUGGGUCUAAAGCGUCCGUAGCCGGAUCGUCAAGUCCCUUGUGAAAUCGGGCGGCUUAACCGCUCGGCUUGCAAGAGAAACUGACGUUCUUGGGGUCGGCAGGCGCCGAGGGUACUCCGGAGGUAGCGGUGAAAUGCUAUAAUCUUCGGGGGACCGCCGGUGGCGAAAGCGCUCGGCGGGGCCGAACCCGACGGUGAGGGACGAAGGCCAGGGGAGCGAACCGGAUUAGAUACCCGGGUAGUCCUGGCUGUAAAGUAUGUGGGCCAGGUGCCAGACGUUCCUCGAGAGCGCUUGGUGCCGAAGGGAAGCCGUUAAGCCCACCACCUGGGGAGUACGGUCGCAAGGCUGAAACUUAAAGAAAUUGGCGGGGGAGCACCACAAGGGGUGGAGCCUGCGGUUUAAUUGGAUUCAACGCCGGACAUCUCACCGGGGGCGACGGCAGAGUGAAGGCCAAGUUGACGACUUUGCCGGACUCGCCGAGAGGUGGUGCAUGGCCGCCGUCAGCUCGUAUCGUGAGACGUCCUGUCAAGUCAGGUAACGAGCGAGACCCUUAUCCUUAGUUGCCAGCGGAUCCCUCUGGGAUGCCGGGCACUCUAAGGAGACCGCUGUCGAUAAGGCAGAGGAAGGAGAGGGCGACGGUAGGUCCGUAUGCCCCGAAUCCCCCGGGCAACACGCGGGCUACAAUGCGCGGGACAGAGGGCUGCGACCCCGAGAGGGGAAGCCGAUCCCUAAACCUGCGCCUAGUUCGGAUCGAGGGCUGCAACUCGCCCUCGUGAAGCUGGAAUCCCUAGUAAUCGCGUGUCACUAUCGCGCGGUGAAUACGUCCCUGCUCCUUGCACACACCGCCCGUCAAGCCAUCCGAGUGGGAUUUGGAUGAGGCUUACUCGACAUGAGUGGGUCAAAUCCGGGUUCUGCAAGGAGGGCUAAGUCGUAACAAGGUAACC
RNAcentral lists this ribosomal RNA (1171 nucleotides) under uncultured archaeon. RNAcentral's name for it is "bacterial SSU rRNA". It matches the Rfam family "Archaeal small subunit ribosomal RNA", at positions 281 to 1448 of the family's 1478-position model. The record is from RNAcentral.